This 3071-nucleotide long non-coding RNA is filed under the name Equus asinus (donkey). RNAcentral's name for it is "lncRNA (ENSEASG00005024879.1)". The record is from RNAcentral. Lineage: Eukaryota; Metazoa; Chordata; Mammalia; Perissodactyla; Equidae.
GUGAGGGCGGGGGCGGGGGCAGGGCGGCGGCGACGCCGCGCGGGCGGCGGGCGGGUGUCGGGCGAGUCUGGGCGGCGUCGGGAGGGACCGGCGAGCGGGGAGGGGCGGAGGCGGGGGGGAGGGGGGAGGAGGAAGAGCGAAGGGUCCUGGCGGGGCUCCCGGCGCCCAGCCGCCCGGGCCCGAGCCCUCAAGCCACCGCCCCCAGGCCCCGCGCAGACGCUGGACGGUCCCCGCCUCCAAACCCCCCGCCCCGGCCAGAGAAUAACUUACCUGUUUGCCGACGGAAUCGCUCCUGCUAGCCCCUCUGACUGACUCCUCCGGCUCACCGUCUUCCCUCUGGGAGGAAGGGGAGGGACUUCCUGCCUCUUUUGAGCGACUUCCGGCGGCUCCCCGGACGACUCUGUCGUGGUCCGAGCACUGGACACCACGACCGAAAAACAGGAUCUCGGAACUGGCCUAGUAAAACCCACAUCGAAUUCCCUUUUCCUGCCCCGAGUGGCCAGCGGACCGUAUGCCGUCUUGUUUUUGUCCAUCAGCUCUUGGCAGAAGUCCCUCGGAGAUGAAACCGGAAGUCCCACCCCUCCCCAAGUGGAAAACGGAAAGCCGAAGGAGUCAACCGAAGGAAGGGGAGACGCGCGUCAGGCUGAGAGCCUGGCGGCGUGUGACCGGGAAGGCCACCUGGGACUUCCAGCGGCUCCCCGAGCGGGUAACCCCCGGGCGAUCCCGCCUCCUCCCUCUCCAUCUCUCCUCACUCCACCCCUUCGCCCGCCCGCGGUAAAGAACCUCGAGGGCGGUACGGGAGAAACGGACGCGCCCGGGCCGGGCGGGAGCCGGAGGCCUGCGGGGCGGGCGGCCGGCCUCCGCCUCCACCGGCCCGAGCGGUGCCCGGCGCCUCUGAGGCCUCCUCUAACGGAGCGAGGUUUUCCUGCUGUGCCAGGCGCGUGCGCACCUCCGGGUUAGGAGAACAGCCUCUGGGUGCUCCUAGCAGGGGUCCUCGGAGUCGCAGACCCUAGGAAGUCGCCAGCCGAAUUCUGAUCCUAACGGGGAGGCGAAAAGCUGAAUGGGGUUGUUCGCCAGUUGGCCACAAAGGCUGGAAACGCUUUGGGUGUUUACAACGUUCCUGCACGGACUGUUUUCAUAAACGUUAACGGCACAGCGUAAGGAUUGUUAGGAAGAAAGUGAGGCACGACCACCACCGGGUCGUGGCCGUCACCAGCCCCUCCCGCCCCUUACACGAGCACGAGCGUGGACUGUCUGAAAACUCUCAAUCUAGGAGGGAAGACCACCGCUUGAAAAGUGCAGUGACAAAGACAUUGUGUCUAGAGAUGGGCAGCAGUAUCCCACUGGGGGUCAGGUUGUGAAUCUAGGGCUUGCUAAGGAGUUUUGACUUUAUCUUGCGGCAUAGGGAAAUCUGUUAAAUAAUCAGAUUUGUACUUAGAAAGAUAACUUACAGUGGGACAAUCAUAACCUCAUAAUAAUGAUAGGCUUUCUAAACCAGAUCAUUUCUAAGGCCAAUUCCAGCUCAAUUCUAUUUUAAAAAAUCAGAAUAUUCGGGUGAUAACAUUUUUAAUACUGUUUUAUGCAGUAUUUUGCAUAGACGUUAUCUGGUUGAAUUCUCACUGUGAUUCACAUGAAUUCUCAUGUCUGUCAUCCACAGUAGGAAAUUGCAAUUUAGAAGAGUCAAAUAGCCAUUCCAAGAUCACACAGCUAGUAAAGGGGGACCUCGGCUUUAAACUCCAGAGUCAGCCUGUUCCAGCCCACCAGGCUGACUCCGUUUGGUGAUAGGUAAUGAAAAGUUCUAGAGAAGCACAUGGAAAACAGUUUCCUUAGAACACUUGACCAGCCUGUUAAUGUUGUAUUUAUUCCAUUAACCAACAUUUAGUGGGUGCCUGGUUAAGUAAAAGGUAAUAAAACUAGAUUCUGUCUUCGAAGAGUUCACUUGAAAUUUACUUAGAGUUUACUUGAAAAUGUAGUACUUAUUAACACAAUCUUUCAGGAUCUAUUUCAACAGUGCUGGUCUUGUAUGACAGGGUGACAAAUGUCUUGCAGACAGCAGCUAGCGCAGUUCUCCGUGUGGACUAAGCGUGUUGGUGGUCGGGUGAUUGAUCUUGCUACCUUUCUUACCUUGGGCGUUUAAUUUACAUUUCAUAUUCCUUUGAGCAGUGAAAUAAAAUCUGAGUUUAUUUUUUCAGUUCCAUCAUCCAUUAUUUUGCUGAAAGAGGACCUUUACAUCAUAAUGUGACAUUAAGGAAGUCAAUUUGACCUCAUUUUCCUCAUGUAUUAAAUGAGUUAUUUAGGAUGAGAAAAAUGAAGCUCAAAGAAGUGACGUAUUAUUCCCUAGUUCUGCCUGUACUGGCUAACUUUGGUGACUGUUUGCCUCUCUGAUGUCCCACGCUUACUCUCCCACACACACUGCUCCUGCUAAUCUGGCCCUGUGGCCAGGAUGUAGUCCCAGUAAAGAGACUCCCUGGCAAGAGGGAGAUGCUGCACAGACAAGGCGCCAGAACUUCACUCCCACAUCGUCUCCAUAUCAAAGCAGCAUUUUCAAACACACAGAGAAUGUUGAGAAACAUUGAAUAUGUCUGUUUGUCUCAUAUCAAAGAGGCCUAUCAGGAGUUACAGUUUAGUUAGCCUAAAUAUAAAACCUGUUUUAAUGAGAACUAUAUACAUUUUAUGUCUAAUUAGCCAAUUAAUUUGCUAUUCCUGCAUGAAAUUUACAAAACUUGCUAAGAGAAAAAUUUAGAAUGGAGAUGCCUAAUAGGAACUGAAUUAAACUAUCGUGGUUUAAACACAAAGUGGUCUGGGGUGGUGAACAUGAAGUAAUCUACACAGAAUUUGAAGUAUAUUACGAUGUACACCUGAAAUUUAUACAAUGUUAUAAACCAAUGCUACUGCAAUUAAAAAAAAUUUUUUUUUAAACAAAGUGUUACAGCUUUUUUAACUCUAUGAAUGCACCAGUCGGGAAAGACUAAGCAACGCUGUGUUAACAACCAUCCCAGAUCUCACCCAAGUCUAUUCCCACCUCAAGUCUAGCACGAUAUUGCUGGACACUGCACUCCCUGACACCCCCC